This 582-nucleotide ribosomal RNA is filed under the name uncultured Collimonas sp. RNAcentral's name for it is "bacterial SSU rRNA". It matches the Rfam family "Bacterial small subunit ribosomal RNA", at positions 102 to 680 of the family's 1533-position model. The record is from RNAcentral. Lineage: Bacteria; Pseudomonadati; Pseudomonadota; Betaproteobacteria; Burkholderiales; Oxalobacteraceae.
ACGGGUGAGUAAUAUAUCGGAACGUACCUUUGAGUGGGGGAUAACUAGUCGAAAGAUUAGCUAAUACCGCAUACGAUCUACGGAUGAAAGUGGGGGCUCGCAAGACCUCAUGCUCAUAGAGCGGCCGAUAUCCGAUUAGCUAGUUGGUGAGGUAAAGGCUCACCAAGGCAUCGAUCAGUAGCUGGUCUGAGAGGACGACCAGCCACACUGGGACUGAGACACGGCCCAGACUCCUACGGGAGGCAGCAGUGGGGAAUUUUGGACAAUGGGGGCAACCCUGAUCCAGCAAUGCCGCGUGAGUGAAGAAGGCCUUCGGGUUGUAAAGCUCUUUUGUCAGGGAAGAAACGGGAUGUUCUAAUACAGCGUCCUAAUGACGGUACCUGAAGAAUAAGCACCGGCUAACUACGUGCCAGCAGCCGCGGUAAUACGUAGGGUGCAAGCGUUAAUCGGAAUUACUGGGCGUAAAGCGUGCGCAGGCGGUUGUGUAAGACAGGUGUGAAAUCCCCGGGCUUAACCUGGGAAUGGCAUUUGUGACUGCACGGCUAGAGUGUGUCAGAGGGGGGUAGAAUUCCACGUGUAGCA